This 485-nucleotide ribosomal RNA is filed under the name Teleopsis pallifacies. RNAcentral's name for it is "partial 16S ribosomal RNA". The stretch from base 250 to 408 matches the Rfam family "Bacterial large subunit ribosomal RNA", at positions 2473 to 2632 of the family's 2925-position model. The record is from RNAcentral. Lineage: Eukaryota; Metazoa; Arthropoda; Insecta; Diptera; Diopsidae.
GUUUCAUUUGAAAUUUUUAUAGAAUUUUAUUUUUUAGUUAAAAAGCUAAAAUAAAUUCAAAAGACGAGAAGACCCUAUAAAUCUUUAUUAUUGUAUAAGUUUUAAUUGAUUUUGAUUAUUUUUAUUAUUAUUUGUUAAAUAAUUUUAUUGGGGUGAUAAUAAAAUUUAAAUAACUUUUAUUUAAUUUAAAUCAUUAAUUUAUGAUUAAUUGAUCCAUUUUUAGUGAUUAAAAAAUUAAGUUACUUUAGGGAUAACAGCGUAAUUUUUUUGGAGAGUUCUUAUCGAUAAAAAAGUUUGCGACCUCGAUGUUGGAUUAAGAUUCAUAUUUAAAUGCAGAAGUUUAAAUAUUAAGUCUGUUCGACUUUAAUUUCUUACAUGAUCUGAGUUCAAACCGGUGUAAGCCAGGUUGGUUUCUAUCUUUGAUUUAGAAAAUAUUUUAGUACGAAAGGAAUAAAUAUUUAUUAUAUAAUAAUUGUUUUGAGAAU